AUUGAACGCUGGCGGCAGGCCUAACACAUGCAAGUCGAGCGGAUGAAGGGAGCUUGCUCCUGGAUUCAGCGGCGGACGGGUGAGUAAUGCCUAGGAAUCUGCCUGGUAGUGGGGGAUAACGUCCGGAAACGGGCGCUAAUACCGCAUACGUCCUGAGGGAGAAAGUGGGGGAUCUUCGGACCUCACGCUAUCAGAUGAGCCUAGGUCGGAUUAGCUAGUUGGUGAGGUAAAGGCCUACCAAGGCGACGAUCCGUAACUGGUCUGAGAGGAUGAUCAGUCACACUGGAACUGAGACACGGUCCAGACUCCUACGGGAGGCAGCAGUGGGGAAUAUUGGACAAUGGGCGAAAGCCUGAUCCAGCCAUGCCGCGUGUGUGAAGAAGGUCCUCGGAUUGUAAAGCACUUUAAGUUGGGAGGAAGGGCAGUAAGUUAAUACCUUGCUGUUUUGACGUUACCAACAGAAUAAGCACCGGCUAACUUCGUG
RNAcentral lists this ribosomal RNA (484 nucleotides) under uncultured bacterium. Its description in RNAcentral is "partial 16S ribosomal RNA". It matches the Rfam family "Bacterial small subunit ribosomal RNA", at positions 30 to 507 of the family's 1533-position model. The record is from RNAcentral.